Molecule: ribosomal RNA, 187 nt
Filed under: Staphylococcus aureus
Lineage: Bacteria; Bacillati; Bacillota; Bacilli; Caryophanales; Staphylococcaceae
Description: partial 23S ribosomal RNA
Rfam family: Bacterial large subunit ribosomal RNA
Source: RNAcentral
GAUUAAGUUAUUAAGGGCGCACGGUGGAUGCCUUGGCACUAGAAGCCGAUGAAGGACGUUACUAACGACGAUAUGCUUUGGGGAGCUGUAAGUAAGCUUUGAUCCAGAGAUUUCCGAAUGGGGAAACCCAGCAUGAGUUAUGUCAUGUUAUCGAUAUGUGAAUACAUAGCAUAUCAGAAGGCACACC